UAAUUGUUUUUAAAUUUAUUAUACUUUAAAUUAUCAUUUAUUUCUGUGAUGCAAAGCUGAAUUUUUAGGAUCAUUAUCACAUGAUCCUUUAGAAAUCAUUCUAAUAUGAUGAUUCAUUAUCAAAGUUGGAAACAGUUCAGCUGCUUAAUAUUUUUUCAGAACAUGUGAUACUUUUUUAGGAUACUUUGAUGAAUAAAAAGGAAAAAAAAAAAAAAGAAGCUAUGUUUUUAAAAUAUAAAUAUUUUGUAAUAACAAUAUACACUACUGGUCAGUAAUUAUUAUUAUUAUUUUUUUUUUAAAAAUAAAAUCAAUACUUUUAUUCAGCAAGGAUGUGUUAAAUUGUUAAAUUAAAUACUAUUAAAAAUAGUAAUGUUUCCAAACUUUCUUUUGACCUGUACUGUACUGUAUAUAUAUAUAUAUAUAUAUAUAUAUAUAUAUAUUUCAUUUUUUAUUUUUUUAAUAAUAUAAAAAAUGGCCAAAAAUAUAUUGGUAAAUAGUUUUAGCUAAAUUUUGGCCAUUUGUGGAAAAAAAAAAAAGAUAAAAAAAGAAUUUGAAUAGAAUUCAUAGUAAUGAAGAGAGAAAAAGGUGAAAACACAUUAAUCAGAGAAGAAUGGCGCGCGCGCGCUGCAGCAGUUGCCAGGGGAUGUCGAAGGGGAGGGGUUAUGAUUGGCUGAAGUGGGUCUGUUGCCUUGGCAACGGCAAAGGGGUUUGGUAGCGUUGCUGUGCGGCGUGAUCUGUGCGCAGCGCGGAUGGAGGAAACGGUUUGAGGCGGCAGAACGCUCCGACUACUGACGCGCUUCAGCGGAAAAACGGCUUGAAUCUGCCCGUUGGCUCCUCAUCAAGUGGCGGUCGAUGGCUAACUAGCAGCUGCGUGAGGAGGUGGGCGGAGAUGAGAACGAGGCCGGGUCAUUUCAGACGCUCUCGAGAAACCUCAACAACCCUCAGACACAAGAGCAGCUCCUUCAGCUGCCAUCGCUGAAUGACUGCGAGAAAUACCAGCAGACGAGAGCGAGAAACGCCGGCUGAUUCUCUGAGAGAGAGAUCAUUGGGUGGGAAUGAGGGAGAUUAGACAAGAAUAUGUAGGGAAAACUUUAAUCCAAAGCUUGUGCUCUUGAAAAAUGGUUGUAAAAAGGGAAAAAG
Molecule: long non-coding RNA, 1140 nt
Organism: Cyprinus carpio (common carp)
Lineage: Eukaryota; Metazoa; Chordata; Actinopteri; Cypriniformes; Cyprinidae
Source: Ensembl